This is a long non-coding RNA of Dreissena polymorpha, 735 nucleotides long. RefSeq lists it as uncharacterized. Lineage: Eukaryota; Metazoa; Mollusca; Bivalvia; Myida; Dreissenidae. The record is from RefSeq and is a predicted model, not a curated record. The transcript has 3 exons.
AUGAGAUUUGAGAAAAUUGUUGCGGUUGCUUACCAUCUGAAGCGAGAGCGAAGAACGUUAGAGAACAUUGAUUGUAAAGUCGACAGUUCACAGGAGAUAUUGAGACGUAUUGAAGAGCAGCUUCAGCAGUUGCGCUCCGCUCAUCUAGAAAUGAAACAACAGAUUGAUGAGCAAAGAAGAGCACCAGAGGCUCUGGCUUUCCGUCAUGAACCACGUCUGUAACCAAGAGGAGGGUUGUGUUAACGUAAAUAGAAUGGCGUUAAACUUUAACCGAGUGCUUUUUAACGAAAACAUAGUGAAUAUACAUCAGAGCUACACAAACAGUGGACGUUUACGCGAAUCUAGACAUAAAUAAUACCAGUAGCUUCCAGUACAGAUUAUAGGAUAUGAAAAUAUUUCCGCACAUCACGACCAACUGAUUCAGUUGACAUAGCAAUAAAACCAGAUAAAUAGUCCAUAUAUAGAAAACCCAAAUUAUGAAGCGAGUCAAUAGAAUGUACAGACCUUACAUUGUUCUCGUACUUACAAUAUACCUAUUAAUGUAUUCAGAUGAACUCAUUUGAUUAAUAAAGCUGGACAUCAAAAGACAUAUAUUAGUAGACCUGCAAUACUCCAAGGAUUGUUUCGUAGCCCUGUGCAACACAAUCCGAGAGAAUAGAAUAAUAAAUCCCUGUAAUAUAAAGUAAACAUAUUCAAGUCAGUGUGGGUAAUUUAAAAUGGUGGACACACAGAUUC